This 446-nucleotide ribosomal RNA is filed under the name Talaromyces pinophilus. RNAcentral describes it as "eukaryotic LSU rRNA". The stretch from base 94 to 247 matches the Rfam family "5.8S ribosomal RNA". Lineage: Eukaryota; Fungi; Ascomycota; Eurotiomycetes; Eurotiales; Trichocomaceae. The record is from RNAcentral.
CCGGGGGACGCACGUCUCCGGGCCCGCGCCCGCCGAAGCGCUCUGUGAACCCUGAUGAAGAUGGGCUGUCUGAGUACUGUGAAAAAUUGUCAAAACUUUCAACAAUGGAUCUCUUGGUUCCGGCAUCGAUGAAGAACGCAGCGAAAUGCGAUAAGUAAUGUGAAUUGCAGAAUUCCGUGAAUCAUCGAAUCUUUGAACGCACAUUGCGCCCCCUGGCAUUCCGGGGGGCAUGCCUGUCCGAGCGUCAUUUCUGCCCUCAAGCACGGCUUGUGUGUUGGGUGUGGUCCCCCCGGGGACCUGCCCGAAAGGCAGCGGCGACGUCCGUCUGGUCCUCGAGCGUAUGGGGCUCUGUCACUCGCUCGGGAAGGACCUGCGGGGGUUGGUCACCACCAUGUUUUACCACGGUUGACCUCGGAUCAGGUAGGAGUUACCCGCUGAACUUAAGC